This 382-nucleotide ribosomal RNA is filed under the name uncultured eukaryote. Its description in RNAcentral is "partial 18S ribosomal RNA". It matches the Rfam family "Eukaryotic small subunit ribosomal RNA", at positions 592 to 976 of the family's 1831-position model. The record is from RNAcentral.
UAUAAGCGUAUACCAAAGUUGUUGCAGUUAAAACGCUCGUAGUCGGACUUUGGCAGUUCCGGAUGUGUGCACGUCGUGUGCGCACUUCGCGGGGAUUGCUUUUGUGGUCUUGCGUAGGAUGAGGCACUUUUAUUAGUGAACGUCCUCACGCAACCACUUUUUACUGUGAGAAAAUCAGAGUGCUCAAAGCAGGCAUUUGCCGUGAAUGUAUUAGCAUGGAAUAAUAGAAUAGGACUUGGUUCUAUUUUGUUGGUUUGUUGGGACUGAGUAAUGAUUAAGAGGGACAGUUGGGGGCAUUUGUAUUUCGGUGCUAGAGGUGAAAUUCUUAGAUUACCGAAAGACAAACUGCUGCGAAAGCGUCUGCCAAGGAUGUUUUCAUUGA